Molecule: ribosomal RNA, 745 nt
Filed under: uncultured fungus
Lineage: Eukaryota; Fungi
Description: eukaryotic LSU rRNA
Rfam family: Eukaryotic large subunit ribosomal RNA
Source: RNAcentral
GCAUAUCAAUAAGCGGAGGAAAAGAAAAUAACAAUGAUUCCCCUAGUAACUGCGAGUGAAGAGGGACAAGCUCAAAUUUUAAAUCUGUCGGGUUCUACCUGACCGAGUUGUAAUUUGAAGAGGCGUUUUCUGUGUUUCUGAUCAGUCCAAGUCCUUUGGGAUAAGGCAUCACGGAGGGUGAGAAUCCCGUUCGGUUGAUCAGAUUCGCUUUACGAUACGCUUUCGAAGAGUCAAGUUGUUUGGGAUUGCAGCUUAAAAUGGGAGGUAAAUUUCUCCUAAGGCUAAAUAACGGCGAGAGACCGAUAGCGAACAAGUACCGUGAGGGAAAGAUGAAAAGAACUUUGAAAAGAGAGUUAAAUAGUACGUGAAAUUGUUGAAAGGGAAACGAUUGAAGCCAGUCGUACCUGCGGGUAAUCAGCCUUUUGGGCAUGAUUCCGUGGAGUGUGAGGAGUUAAACGCCUUCAUGCCUGCAUAUUCGUGUACUUUGGGUGUACUUGCCUGUGUGGUUAGUUAACAUCAAUUUUGGUUAUCAUAAAAUGGCUGGAGGAAUGUAGCUUCGAUCUCGAUUGAAGUGUUAUAGCCUUCGGCAGAUGUGAUGAUCGGGAUUGAGGAUUGCAACGGAUACCCUUCGGGGCUACCUGUCUGAUCUCUGAUCGUUGCUUUGGUGCCGAAAGCGUGCUUACGGUUAUCAAAGUCGAUGGUUAAUAGGUUAGAACGGGUUAAAUUCGUUAAGGAUGUUGACGUA